RNAcentral lists this ribosomal RNA (2787 nucleotides) under human gut metagenome. RNAcentral describes it as "bacterial LSU rRNA". It matches the Rfam family "Bacterial large subunit ribosomal RNA". The record is from RNAcentral.
AGCGUACACGGUGGAUGCCCUGGCAGUCAGAGGCGAUGAAGGACGUGCUAAUCUGCGAUAAGCGUCGGUAAGGUGAUAUGAACCGUUAUAACCGGCGAUUUCCGAAUGGGGAAACCCAGUGUGAUUCGUCACACUAUCAUUAACUGAAUCCAUAGGUUAAUGAGGCGAACCGGGGGAACUGAAACAUCUAAGUACCCCGAGGAAAAGAAAUCAACCGAGAUUCCCCCAGUAGCGGCGAGCGAACGGGGAGCAGCCCAGAGCCUGAAUCAGUGUGUGUGUUAGUGGAAGCGUCUGGAAAGGCGCGCGAUACAGGGUGACAGCCCCGUACACAAAAAUGCACAUACUGUGAGCUCGAUGAGUAGGGCGGGACACGUGGUAUCCUGUCUGAAUAUGGGGGGACCAUCCUCCAAGGCUAAAUACUCCUGACUGACCGAUAGUGAACCAGUACCGUGAGGGAAAGGCGAAAAGAACCCCGGCGAGGGGAGUGAAAAAGAACCUGAAACCGUGUACGUACAAGCAGUGGGAGCACGCUUAGGCGUGUGACUGCGUACCUUUUGUAUAAUGGGUCAGCGACUUAUAUUCUGUAGCAAGGUUAACCGAAUAGGGGAGCCGAAGGGAAACCGAGUCUUAACUGGGCGUUAAGUUGCAGGGUAUAGACCCGAAACCCGGUGAUCUAGCCAUGGGCAGGUUGAAGGUUGGGUAACACUAACUGGAGGACCGAACCGACUAAUGUUGAAAAAUUAGCGGAUGACUUGUGGCUGGGGGUGAAAGGCCAAUCAAACCGGGAGAUAGCUGGUUCUCCCCGAAAGCUAUUUAGGUAGCGCCUCGUGAAUUCAUCUCCGGGGGUAGAGCACUGUUUCGGCAAGGGGGUCAUCCCGACUUACCAACCCGAUGCAAACUGCGAAUACCGGAGAAUGUUAUCACGGGAGACACACGGCGGGUGCUAACGUCCGUCGUGAAGAGGGAAACAACCCAGACCGCCAGCUAAGGUCCCAAAGUCAUGGUUAAGUGGGAAACGAUGUGGGAAGGCCCAGACAGCCAGGAUGUUGGCUUAGAAGCAGCCAUCAUUUAAAGAAAGCGUAAUAGCUCACUGGUCGAGUCGGCCUGCGCGGAAGAUGUAACGGGGCUAAACCAUGCACCGAAGCUGCGGCAGCGACGCUGAUGCGUUGUUGGGUAGGGGAGCGUUCUGUAAGCCUGUGAAGGUGUACUGUGAGGUAUGCUGGAGGUAUCAGAAGUGCGAAUGCUGACAUAAGUAACGAUAAAGCGGGUGAAAAGCCCGCUCGCCGGAAGACCAAGGGUUCCUGUCCAACGUUAAUCGGGGCAGGGUGAGUCGACCCCUAAGGCGAGGCCGAAAGGCGUAGUCGAUGGGAAACAGGUUAAUAUUCCUGUACUUGGUGUUACUGCGAAGGGGGGACGGAGAAGGCUAUGUUGGCCGGGCGACGGUUGUCCCGGUUUAAGCGUGUAGGCUGGUUUUCCAGGCAAAUCCGGAAAAUCAAGGCUGAGGCGUGAUGACGAGGCACUACGGUGCUGAAGCAACAAAUGCCCUGCUUCCAGGAAAAGCCUCUAAGCAUCAGGUAACAUCAAAUCGUACCCCAAACCGACACAGGUGGUCAGGUAGAGAAUACCAAGGCGCUUGAGAGAACUCGGGUGAAGGAACUAGGCAAAAUGGUGCCGUAACUUCGGGAGAAGGCACGCUGAUAUGUAGGUGAAGCGACUUGCUCGUGGAGCUGAAAUCAGUCGAAGAUACCAGCUGGCUGCAACUGUUUAUUAAAAACACAGCACUGUGCAAACACGAAAGUGGACGUAUACGGUGUGACGCCUGCCCGGUGCCGGAAGGUUAAUUGAUGGGGUCAGCGCAAGCGAAGCUCUUGAUCGAAGCCCCGGUAAACGGCGGCCGUAACUAUAACGGUCCUAAGGUAGCGAAAUUCCUUGUCGGGUAAGUUCCGACCUGCACGAAUGGCGUAAUGAUGGCCAGGCUGUCUCCACCCGAGACUCAGUGAAAUUGAACUCGCUGUGAAGAUGCAGUGUACCCGCGGCAAGACGGAAAGACCCCGUGAACCUUUACUAUAGCUUGACACUGAACAUUGAGCCUUGAUGUGUAGGAUAGGUGGGAGGCUUUGAAGUGUGGACGCCAGUCUGCAUGGAGCCGACCUUGAAAUACCACCCUUUAAUGUUUGAUGUUCUAACGUGGACCCGUGAUCCGGGUUGCGGACAGUGUCUGGUGGGUAGUUUGACUGGGGCGGUCUCCUCCUAAAGAGUAACGGAGGAGCACGAAGGUUGGCUAAUCCUGGUCGGACAUCAGGAGGUUAGUGCAAUGGCAUAAGCCAGCUUGACUGCGAGCGUGACGGCGCGAGCAGGUGCGAAAGCAGGUCAUAGUGAUCCGGUGGUUCUGAAUGGAAGGGCCAUCGCUCAACGGAUAAAAGGUACUCCGGGGAUAACAGGCUGAUACCGCCCAAGAGUUCAUAUCGACGGCGGUGUUUGGCACCUCGAUGUCGGCUCAUCACAUCCUGGGGCUGAAGUAGGUCCCAAGGGUAUGGCUGUUCGCCAUUUAAAGUGGUACGCGAGCUGGGUUUAGAACGUCGUGAGACAGUUCGGUCCCUAUCUGCCGUGGGCGCUGGAGAACUGAGGGGGGCUGCUCCUAGUACGAGAGGACCGGAGUGGACGCAUCACUGGUGUUCGGGUUGUCAUGCCAAUGGCACUGCCCGGUAGCUAAAUGCGGAAGAGAUAAGUGCUGAAAGCAUCUAAGCACGAAACUUGCCCCGAGAUGAGUUCUCCCUGACUCCUUGA